This 505-nucleotide ribosomal RNA is filed under the name uncultured bacterium. RNAcentral describes it as "partial 16S ribosomal RNA". It matches the Rfam family "Bacterial small subunit ribosomal RNA", at positions 28 to 507 of the family's 1533-position model. The record is from RNAcentral.
GACGAACGCUGGCGGCGUGCCUAAUACAUGCAAGUAGAACGCACAGUUUAUACCGUAGCUUGCUACACCAUAGACUGUGAGUUGCGAACGGGUGAGUAACGCGUAGGUAACCUGCCUGGUAGCGGGGGAUAACUAUUGGAAACGAUAGCUAAUACCGCAUAAUAUUGAUUAUUGCAUGAUAAUUGAUUGAAAGAUGCUAUUGCAUCACUACCAGAUGGACCUGCGUUGUAUUAGCUAGUAGGUGAGGUAACGGCUCACCUAGGCGACGAUACAUAGCCGACCUGAGAGGGUGAUCGGCCACACUGGGACUGAGACACGGCCCAGACUCCUACGGGAGGCAGCAGUAGGGAAUCUUCGGCAAUGGACGAAAGUCUGACCGAGCAACGCCGCGUGAGUGAAGAAGGUUUUCGGAUCGUAAAGCUCUGUUGUAAGAGAAGAACGGGCGUGAGAGUGGAAAGUUCACACUGUGACGGUAUCUUACCAGAAAGGGACGGCUAACUACGUG